UGCUGCUGCUCUUUAGGAGAUGCCUACUUCUUCAAGGACAACCUUUACUGGGUGCUGCAGAACGGAAGACUGAACCAAGCUGUCGUCACUCCUAAAUCCAUCGCUGUAGACUGGCUCAGAUGUCAAGCUCCUCUGCCUGCAACCUCCCGUCCUCAAUCCCCAAAGGAGUGCCUCUGUGACUUGAAUGCGUCAUCACCAUUUCUAAGAAGCAGCUGGCUCUUCCUGAUCUCUGUUAUAUUGAUAAUUAAUGAAUUUGUUAGAAUAGAUGGAUGGAAUUUGUUUGAAACCAAGUGGCUGUUUAUGUAAUACUUCUAUUGUUCCACUGGAGUGUAAUAGAGGCUCUUUACAUCAUUAUACUCACAGUACAUUACAAGACACAAGCUGGUUUCAAAUUACACAUUAUGUCAUAAAAUGUUAAAUAUCCACCUGAUACUUUAGCAUAGGUCAGUGUCACUGCAAAUACUUUACCUCUUUCAGAACAUAUUGCUGACCCAUGAAAAUAGUCCGCUCGUGUCCGAAAUCACUCACUGCUCACUAUUAGCCCACGAUAUAUUGAGUAGUGAAUGGGUGAAUGAUUUCGGACACCGUCUAUUAUUUUUGCGUCCUUCUGCCAUCCUGCUAUAGAAUUUCACCCCCUCUAUUUUCCAAAGUAUUUGGAUUACAGAGCCUGUACAGGGUAACACGUGGAAAUUCAACACAGAAAUCCAGCACGCAGGCUGCUAUCUCAUAAUGAGGCUCUACACAACCACUGGCCACACAAACAUACUGAAGUGCAACUCUGAUUUUCUUGACAGUAUUAAUGCAACAGUUCUGCAAACAGAGAUGUGGACUUAGCAACAGGUACAGAGUCAGCGGGGGCAAUCUAAGCAGGCGGGGCUAGGGUUAUGGGAUAUGUUGACUAAAAAAGUGCAGAAUUACUGCACAGAAGUAGCCGUUGUGACAUCUUUACACAUUCAUGCUUCAUUUUCUUCAUAUUUUAGUUAUUUAACACUGAUUAUGUUAUUCUUGUAUUUUAUUAUUUUAAUUUCUAUUUGAAUCCAUCACUGUGAUCCUUUUGAGGGGGAGCUCUGCAGAUGUAAUGCAGUAAAUCAUUCUUAAAGGUAGUAGAGUUUAGGGAUUUCGAUUAAAAUAUGUUUUUUUCUCAGGUUAGGCCAAAUGUAGAUAAUGCAUUGGUAUGUAUGAACAAUUUUUAAGUGACUAUUAGAAAAUAUCAGUAAAAAGAGUUCUUAAUAUUA
This is a long non-coding RNA of Sander lucioperca (pikeperch), 1235 nucleotides long. RefSeq lists it as uncharacterized. NCBI's taxonomy places the organism in Eukaryota, Metazoa, Chordata, Actinopteri, Perciformes, Percidae. The transcript is spliced from 2 exons. The record is from RefSeq and is a predicted model, not a curated record.